GGUAAGUGUGCCUCGGGUGAGCAUGCACUUAACGUAGGUGUAUGUCACUCGGCUCGGCCCACUACCCA
Molecule: microRNA precursor, 68 nt
Filed under: Rattus norvegicus (Norway rat)
Lineage: Eukaryota; Metazoa; Chordata; Mammalia; Rodentia; Muridae
Description: microRNA rno-mir-668 precursor
Gene: rno-mir-668
Rfam family: mir-668 microRNA precursor family
Source: miRBase by way of RNAcentral